Arachis ipaensis is the source of this 2050-nucleotide non-coding RNA. Lineage: Eukaryota; Viridiplantae; Streptophyta; Magnoliopsida; Fabales; Fabaceae. The record is from RefSeq and is a predicted model, not a curated record.
ACACGUGCGCCACUACAAAAAAUAUUGGUAAAAAUGGCACUAAUUUUAUGGAGGGUCAAAAAAACUGCCAUUAUGUUUGUUAAUUACAGCAGCGCCAACUUAUGCCAUAAUGCUAAUGAUUUUUGUGGCAGCUUUGUUGAUUGUGGCGUUUCAAACCGCCAUAGAAUUUUUUUUCCCUUUUUUAACUUGAGCGAUGUUGCAUAUGAGAGUGUAAUUAGUAUUGUUGCAUAUGAGAAAAUGAGGAUGAGUGUCAAUGACGAACCCUAAUUUCUUGCCAUUGUUCAUCUUCCUGAUUUGUCAUUCAACUCCUCGCUAUCACUCAUCACUUUGUUGCAGCUCAUCUCCUCGCUGCUGCAAGCAACGCCGUUGUUGCUGCCUUCAGCGAGCUUCUACGAUUUGGCUUUGAUCUGAAGAUUUUUCAACGUUCGUCUCAUCACCAUCGUUCAUCCCCUCGCCAUUGCAAGAAACACCGUUGUCCUUUUCAUCAAGCUUCAAUGAUUUGGCUUCGAUAUGAAGAUUUGUCGCCGCUCAUCUCAUUGCCAUCAUUCAUCUCUGCACCAUCGCAAGCAACACCAUUGUCGCUGCCUUCUAUGAUCUGAUUUUCAAUCUGGCUCACCUCCUCACCUCGGCAAGCAACGCCGUUGUUGCUGCCUUCAGCAAGCUUCUUCAAUUUGGUUUCACCAUCUCUGUCACUUCUAAUAGUACAACACAACACUUUACUUUCUCUUCAAAACAAGUCACGGCAUUGUGGAGGAACUGAUUGGGUUUGGAGCAAGAGUGCACGCAUGUGCAAGGAACGAAGCUGAGCUCACUAAGUCUCUCAUCUAAUGAAAUGAUUCUGGUUUUGAGGUUACUAACUCUGUUUGCAAUGUCUUUGUUCCUCAUCAGAGGGAGAAGCUUAUGGACUCUGUGUGUUCUGAAUUCCAAGGAAAACUCAACAUCCUUAUUUGAAUUUGUUAGAAAAUCCAAAUGAAGAGGGGGAUAUAUAUACUUAAAAGAUGAAAAGACUUAAAUGGUUAUCUUCAUCUGUUUGCUUUGGCAAUGGUGCAGAGAAUUUCGGGCAACCCAAACCAAAGUUUGAAGUGAAAAAGACAAGAAACUGAGGACUCUGAGUGCCACAGUGAAUUCCAAUACUUUCUCAAUGACCCUUUGAAUUAUGAUCUUAAAUAUUACGUUAGUGCACAGCCAUUCCUUGUGUUUGAUCUUCUAGAAGCAUAUUCUAGAGGGUUUGUUAACUGUAAAUUUUUAUUAUAAGUGAGUUUAGUUUAAUGUGAAAAUUUUUAGCUUAAGUUAGUUUACUAUUUUGGGUGGUGCUUGUAAAUUAAAAAAAAUAAACUAAAGAAAAAUAAUAACCUGGGAAUCGCCCUCACAAAUCUACUGUGACUGCUACAAAAUUAUUAUUUAAAAGAGAUUCGCUUGUUUAUACUUCCAAACCUUGAGCCAUAUUUGCUUCUCCUUGAGCCGGAAAUGCAACCAGAGAAACAGAGAAAUGAAACAAAGAGGCAGGAAGCAUGGCAAGUAUAUGGGGCCUUGUUGUGUGCUGUUGGACAAUGUAUGCAUGAAAGGGCCAAAAUCUUCAGCAAUUUGCUCUCUCCUCCAACACGUGCUUCUUCUAGACCCAAUGGAAAAGCCAUGAUUGCUAUAUCAACCGGCUUGAUAGAAAUUCCCUGACAGGAGUGGUUCCUAAAAAUUUUUGUAAGAGAUGAGUUUGGAUAAUGAAAAUGGAGUGUUGGAGCAAGAAACAAAGAUGUUGGAGCAAGUUACCAGGAUGAAACUCACACAAGAGACCAAGAAACUAAGACAGGCUUGUUUUAAAGUUAAUUACAAAAGGAGGAAAUUUUUGGCCUCCAAAUCUUAUUCAUUAUCACUUAGCUAAGCUACUUGUCUUGUAUAUUCAUAUUCUAAGUAGUAAAAACAGCACUUAUUAGAUGGUUUAAAUACAUUAUUAGAUAUUAACAUAGUUUAGGAAACUGGAUGGUAGAUUUGACUGAUUAGUGUUUAUUGCAAUGCUUGUAUUUUGGUAAGUUUAGUAAGACAAGGUUUUGUAUAG